This is a long non-coding RNA of Brienomyrus brachyistius, 1215 nucleotides long. RefSeq lists it as uncharacterized. NCBI's taxonomy places the organism in Eukaryota, Metazoa, Chordata, Actinopteri, Osteoglossiformes, Mormyridae. The record is from RefSeq and is a predicted model, not a curated record. The transcript has 3 exons.
GGGAAGGGGCGGUCCAGCCCCCCCCCAAAAAAAAAAAAGUUUCCCCUAUAUUAAGGGCGACGCUGUCGACCAAAAAUACAGAAGAACUUGAAACGUUAUCGACGAUCAGUUCACGACGCCAAAGAUGGAAAUGACAAACUGGAGGUAUGUUAAAUUUCUUUCGCCAUACUUUAAAAUUGUUUGAAUUGUCGCUAUUGUGAAAACAUUUGCGAUUACUUUUGACCAAGAAUUUUCCACGGUGUCAAGCCCGAGUAAGCCCCGUGAAGCAGAGGAUUGGAAUAGCGAUAAGGACGCCGACCUGUUAAGCACGCCGACGGUUAUUUUCAGAGAUAAUCGUGAAGGGACUGUCCACGGACAACAUAAGCGGAAAAGAACGGAUAGUUUUAACGACACUGCCGAUGAUGAAUUGUUGAUCGCUGCGGCUGAAAAAAUUGAAGCGGGUCUAGCGACGGCAGAAACUUCAACCGGCGGCGCACAGAGCGAACCUGAAGAACAGUUGGAAUCUACGCCGCCGGGUACUCCUACUACAGGGGUUGUGACGCCGGACCAAGGGUUCCCAGCAAGCGGUGAUCCAGCGACCACAUCCCGGGCCUUAUCGGGACCCCUGCAGAGGACGCAAGAUUGGGAUAUUGACCAAUUAACACCUUGGCAGUGGCCGGUUGCGAGCUCCCUGGACGGCGCUGUAUCCCGGGCCGAGAGGCUGAAGGGGCUCAAGGUAGCUUUUUUCCUUUUUCAGGAUCAAAUGUGUGAUUUUUUGGCGGAUUUGUCUGAUCAGAUAUAAAGAAUAAGCACAGACAUGGCAGAAAACUGGCGGCAUUGGAGUUUUGACGGGGGUAGAAGCAUGCAUAUAAAUGAUGACGAUGGUGAAACGCCGCUGAACCCCGAUCUGCUUCGGCUGAUUGAUGAACUGAAUGACGGACCACCGGCUGAAAUUAACCCCUACAUGCUCGCCUUAAUAAAUGAUUUAAAUGAGAAUGGUGCUCAUGAAGCUGUUGAGGAUAUGGACUAUGUUAAUAUGGGUGACGCUAUAGACGAUGUAGACGGGUGGCUACCAAAUGCUGAUGUGUCUAUGAAUGUGGAAAUGGCUGACGACCACGCGGAUGACAGCGGACCGGACAACGAUGUGCAAAUGCUUGACGCUGAUGACGAAUCGGCCAUGUACGCUGAACUGCAUCAGAUGAUUGCUGAACUGAAUGGUGAGCAACCGGGUGAAUU